UACGUAGGGUGCGAGCGUUAAUCGGAAUUACUGGGCGUAAAGCGUGCACAGGCGGUUGUGUAAGACAGGUGUGAAAUCCCCGGGCUUAACCUGGGAACUGCGCUUGUGACUGCACAACUAGAGUACGGCAGAGGGGGGUGGAAUUCCACGUGUAGCAGUGAAAUGCGUAGAUAUGUGGAGGAACACCGAUGGCGAAGGCAGCCCCCUGGGCCUGUACUGACGCUCAUGCACGAAAGCGUGGGGAGCAAACAGG
RNAcentral lists this ribosomal RNA (253 nucleotides) under uncultured bacterium. Its description in RNAcentral is "partial 16S ribosomal RNA". It matches the Rfam family "Bacterial small subunit ribosomal RNA", at positions 524 to 776 of the family's 1533-position model. The record is from RNAcentral.